Long non-coding RNA from Hemicordylus capensis (graceful crag lizard), 1161 nucleotides. RefSeq lists it as uncharacterized. The record is from RefSeq and is a predicted model, not a curated record. The transcript has 3 exons. NCBI's taxonomy places the organism in Eukaryota, Metazoa, Chordata, Lepidosauria, Squamata, Cordylidae.
CCUGAAGCCUGAAUUUGGCAGGCCCCAGCAAGCCCAGAAGGAGGCUGGCAGAGCUCCCUGCAGCAGACCAGACCAUCCAGCACAGCUUUUGCAAGGGUCUGGCUCGGUAGAAGGCUCCGUCCCAUGAUCAUUGCACUCCUGUCCGCUAGAGAGAUGAUGCAGCCACCUACUGACUUGAAGAUUUCCUUUCUAGAGACUCUGGGGAGGGAGUUGAAGCCUGAAGAAUGACAGUUCUUGCAACUCGCAUGAAAAAGACUGAACAAGGCAUCCACUUGAAGAGAGGUGAUGGGGCCCGCUGUCGGGAUUCUUGAUGGACCGAGCAUGAACGAUCUGAUGAAUCGGAGGCUCGCACACUGCGACACGGAGUCCGACGCGGAGUCCUGCCUGCUUCUAAACCAGGAUACUCGCGCCGCAGAAUGCAGCUGAUGAUCUCUCCUAGACAGAAGGAGGUGAAAGUGCCUCGCUUGGAUUUUGCUCUCUUCGCUCUUUGGGAUUCUGCUUUGCCGUCUCCAUACGACAGGCCCCUAUUAAACUGCCCUUGUUGUUUGUCCCGUAUGUGACUUGCUCACUUAAACAGCAUUCUUCCUCAGCAAAGAGAUGCUCCCUUCUGAAAGAAGCUUUCCCGCUCCACAAAGGUCUUUUUUUUUUUUUUUUUUAGUGAGAAAAUCCUUCAGGGAAGCCAUGGGGAGGGGUUUCCUUUUGUAUACCCAGCGGUGCCAGACUCCCCUCCCAUCAGGGGCAUUGCAAGGUACUUAAAAGAUCCAGGCCCUGGGUCCACAGAUCCCCUUUUGAGAAUUAAACUCAAUCAUAUCCAUCCAAAAAUAAUUAGGUUUUUUUUUAAAAAAAGUUCUCUAAUAUAAUGCAGCUCCAAUGCAGGUGGAAGCCACAGACAGCUAGGGGAGGCAAAAGCUCUCUUCCCAUCAUGCUCUGUGCAGGUGCCUCCACAAGAGAUCAUGCAAGAGAAAGACUGCUGAUGAGAUUAAGGGAUCUGAGCAAUUCAUUGGAGGCCCAUGCCACAAUGACCAACCCUAAUUACACCCCUGCUUCCUAUUAUUAAUUUUAAAAAACCCAAACAAUAAAUAGUCACAUUCUGCAACCAGCAAACUCUGAAUCUGUGGUUUACACAUAUGAUGCCAACUGAAGUUAUUUUCAUUUAAUUGA